UCUGGCGAUGAUGACACACUUGCCCUCACUGAGAACAGUGUUCGAUAAUGAGCCUCAACCAAGCGCUCAAAUGAGCUGAGCCAGA
Small nucleolar RNA from Calidris pygmaea (Spoon-billed sandpiper), 85 nucleotides. The record is from Ensembl. Lineage: Eukaryota; Metazoa; Chordata; Aves; Charadriiformes; Scolopacidae.